CUAAUAUACAGAUUUAGAUACUGUAUGGAGUCUAAUAUACAGAUUUAGAUACUGUAUGGGGUCUAAUAUACAGAUUUAGAUACUGUAUGGGGUCUAAUAUACAGAUUUAGAUACUGUAUGGGGUCUAACAUAUCAUGCAAAACGCAAUAUACCGCCAGUAUUUCUGUUUAAAAAAAAAGGUUAUACAUCUUGAAAAGGUGAUUGUUUUUCAUGUCAGCACAUUGCCCUAUAUCAACAACAACACAUUGCCCUAUAUCAACAACAACACAUUGCCCUAUAUCAACAACAACACAUUGCCCUAUAUCAACAACAACACAUUGCCCUAUAUCAACAACAACACAUUGCCCUAUAUCAACAACAACACAUUGCCCUAUAUCAACAACAACACAUUGCCCUAUAUCAACAACAACACAUUGCCCUAUAUCAACAACAACACAUUGCCCUAUAUCAACAACAACACAUUGCCCUAUAUCAACAACAACACAUUGCCCUAUAUCAACAACAACACAUUGCCCUAUAUCAACAACAACACAUUGCCCUAUAUCAACAACAACACAUUGCCCUAUAUCAACAACACAUUGCCCUAUAUCAACAACAACACAACACAUUGACCCUAUAUCAACAACACAACACAUUGACCCUAUAUCAACAACAACACAACACAUUGUCCCUAUAUCAACAACACAACACAUUGCCCUAUAUCAACAACACAACACAUUGCCCUAUAUCAACAACAACACAUUGCCCUAUAUCAACAACAACACAUUGCCCUAUAUCAACAACAACACAACACAUUGCCCUAUAUCAACAACACAACACAUAGACCCUAUAACAACACGUGUGUGUGUGUGUGUGUGUGUGUGUACGGUGUGUGUGUGUACGGUGUGUACGGUGUGUGUGUGUACGGUGUGUACGGUGUGUGUGUGUACGGUGUGUACGGUGUGUGUGUACGGUGUGUGUGUGUGUGUGUGUAUACGGUGUGUGUGUGUACGGUGUGUGUACGGUGUGUGU
RNAcentral lists this long non-coding RNA (1011 nucleotides) under Oncorhynchus kisutch (coho salmon). RNAcentral's name for it is "lncRNA (ENSOKIG00005041927.1)". The record is from RNAcentral. Lineage: Eukaryota; Metazoa; Chordata; Actinopteri; Salmoniformes; Salmonidae.